RNAcentral lists this ribosomal RNA (1107 nucleotides) under Thermobifida sp. RNAcentral's name for it is "bacterial SSU rRNA". It matches the Rfam family "Bacterial small subunit ribosomal RNA", at positions 29 to 1137 of the family's 1533-position model. The record is from RNAcentral. Lineage: Bacteria; Bacillati; Actinomycetota; Actinomycetes; Streptosporangiales; Nocardiopsidaceae.
ACGAACGCUGGCGGCGUGCUUAACACAUGCAAGUCGAGCGGUAAGGCCCCUUCGGGGGUACACGAGCGGCGAACGGGUGAGUAACACGUGAGUAACCUGCCCCUGACUCUGGGAUAAGCCUGGGAAACUGGGUCUAAUACCGGAUAUGACCUCGUGCCGCAUGGUGUGGGGUGGAAAGGUGUUUUUCCGGUCAGGGAUGGGCUCGCGGCCUAUCAGCUUGUUGGUGGGGUAACGGCCUACCAAGGCGAUGACGGGUAGCCGGCCUGAGAGGGCGACCGGCCACACUGGGACUGAGACACGGCCCAGACUCCUGCGGGAGGCAGCAGUGGGGAAUAUUGCGCAAUGGGCGGAAGCCUGACGCAGCGACGCCGCGUGGGGGAUGAAGGCCUUCGGGUUGUAAACCUCUUUUACCACUCACGAAGGCCCCUGGUUUUCUGGGGGUUGACGGUAGGUGGUGAAUAAGGACCGGCUAACUACGUGCCAGCAGCCGCGGUAAUACGUAGGGUCCGAGCGUUGUCCGGAAUUAUUGGGCGUAAAGAGCUCGUAGGCGGCCUGUCGCGUCUGCUGUGAAAGUCCGGGGCUUAACUCCGGGUGUGCAGUGGAUACGGGCAGGCUUGAGGUAGGUAGGGGAGACUGGAAUUCCUGGUGUAGCGGUGAAAUGCGCAGAUAUCAGGAGGAACACCGGUGGCGAAGGCGGGUCUCUGGGCCUUACCUGACGCUGAGGAGCGAAAGCGUGGGGAGCGAACAGGAUUAGAUACCCUGGUAGUCCACGCCGUAAACGUUGGGCGCUAGGUGUGGGGACUUUCCACGGUUUCCGUGCCGUAGCUAACGCAUUAAGCGCCCCGCCUGGGGAGUACGGCCGCAAGGCUAAAACUCAAAGGAAUUGACGGGGGCCCGCACAAGCGGCGGAGCAUGUUGCUUAAUUCGACGCAACGCGAAGAACCUUACCAAGGCUUGACAUCACCGGUAAUCCUCCAGAGAUGGGGGGUCCUUCGGGGAUCGGUGACAGGUGGUGCAUGGCUGUCGUCAGCUCGUGUCCUGAGAUGUUGGGUUAAGUCCCGCACGAACGCAACCCUGUCCCAUGUUGCCAGCCCGUGGUGGUGGGGA